Molecule: ribosomal RNA, 493 nt
Filed under: uncultured bacterium
Lineage: Bacteria
Description: partial 16S ribosomal RNA
Rfam family: Bacterial small subunit ribosomal RNA
Source: RNAcentral
AUUGAACGCUGGCGGCAUGCUUUACACAUGCAAGUCGAACGGUAACAGGUUAAGCUGACGAGUGGCGAACGGGUGAGUAAUGCAUCGGAACGUGCCCAGUCGUGGGGGAUAACGCAGCGAAAGCUGUGCUAAUACCGCAUACGAUCUCUGGAUGAAAGCGGGGGACCGAAAGGCCUCGCGCGAUUGGAGCGGCCGAUGUCAGAUUAGGUAGUUGGUGGGGUAAAGGCCCACCAAGCCAACGAUCUGUAGCUGGUCUGAGAGGACGACCAGCCACACUGAGACUGAGACACGGCCCAGACUCCUACGGGAGGUAGCAGUGGGGAAUUUUGGACAAUGGGGGUAACCCUGAUCCAGCAAUGCCGCGUGCAGGAAGAAGGCCUUCGGGUUGUAAACUGCUUUUGUACGGAACGAAAAGCUCUGGGCUAAUACCUUGGGGUCAUGACGGUACCGUAAGAAUAAGCACCGGCUAACUACGUGCCAGCCGCCGCAGUAA